This 345-nucleotide ribosomal RNA is filed under the name uncultured bacterium. RNAcentral describes it as "bacterial SSU rRNA". It matches the Rfam family "Bacterial small subunit ribosomal RNA", at positions 373 to 710 of the family's 1533-position model. The record is from RNAcentral.
GGGCGCAAGCCUGAUGCAGCCAUGCCGCGUGUAUGAAGAAGGCCUUCGGGUUGUAAAGUACUUUCAGCGGGGAGGAAGGGAGUAAAGUUAAUACCUUUGCUCAUUGACGUUACCCGCAGAAGAAGCACCGGCUAACUCCGUGCCAGCAGCCGCGGUAAUACGGAGGGUGCAAGCGUUAAUCGGAAUUACUGGGCGUAAAGCGCACGCAGGCGGUUUGUUAAGUCAGAUGUGAAAUCCCCGGGCUCAACCUGGGAACUGCAUCUGAUACUGGCAAGCUUGAGUCUCGUAUAGGGGGGUAGAAUUCCAGGUGUAGCGGUGAAAUGCGUAGAGAUCUGGAGGAAUACC